This is a non-coding RNA of Odocoileus virginianus texanus, 466 nucleotides long. Lineage: Eukaryota; Metazoa; Chordata; Mammalia; Artiodactyla; Cervidae. The record is from RefSeq and is a predicted model, not a curated record.
CAGCAGCAGCAGCGGCGGGAGGAGCCUCCGGGAGAUGUGGAAGAAAGAUUUGAAAUUGCAAGAAUCAUACGCGUUAAUGGCAGCUGUGACGAAACUUGUCCUAGAAUUUUGAAGUCAGAAAAACCUUGAGCGAUCUGGUGUGACUUGUUUUAGAGCCGGGAAACUAGACUCGGAGAUGAGCGACUCACUGUGGGUCCUGCAGCUGCCCAGGGAUUGGACCAAAACGAGGAUCUAGGCCUCUCUUCGCCCCAUUUAGAGAGCACUUUUCGCUCACUGCUGAACCCCCUGUUCUUCAUUGAUUGCAUUCUUCACCACCAUCCUCACUGGGUCUUUGUGCAAUAGACUUGAAAGGAGAAGUCAGAGAGUGCGCCUCACGCUGAUUCUUGACAGUUGCUGUCAGUUACCACAAGUAACUGAUGAAGAUUUUUUCCUGACCUGAAUUUAAUAAAAACCAACUGACAUUUCA